GCCGGUGUGAUGCAAUUGGCAGACAUCGCUACCUCAAAAGUAGUGUUCUGGCGGUUCGAGUCCGCCUGCCGGCA
RNAcentral lists this transfer RNA (74 nucleotides) under Candidatus Obscuribacterales bacterium. Its description in RNAcentral is "tRNA-Leu". It matches the Rfam family "tRNA". From Rfam's summary of the family: Transfer RNA (tRNA) molecules are approximately 80 nucleotides in length. The record is from RNAcentral. Lineage: Bacteria; Bacillati; Candidatus Melainabacteria; Candidatus Obscuribacterales.